UACGGAGGAUCCGAGCGUUAUCCGGAAUCAUUGGGUUUAAAGGGUCCGUAGGUGGACUGUUAAGUCAGGGGUGAAAUCCCGCGGCUCAACCGUGGAAUUGCCCUUGAUACUGGCGGUCUUGAGUCGCCAUGAGGUAGCUGGAAUAUGUAGUGUAGCGGUGAAAUGCAUAGAUAUUACAUAGAACACCGAUUGCGGAGGCAGGUUACCAAUGGCGCACUGACACUGAUGGACGAAAGCGUGGGGAGCGAACAGG
This 253-nucleotide ribosomal RNA is filed under the name uncultured bacterium. RNAcentral describes it as "partial 16S ribosomal RNA". It matches the Rfam family "Bacterial small subunit ribosomal RNA", at positions 524 to 776 of the family's 1533-position model. The record is from RNAcentral.